GAUGAACGCUGGCGGCGUGCCUAAUACAUGCAAGUAGAACGCUGAAGGAAGGAGCUUGCUCUUUCCGGAUGAGUUGCGAACGGGUGAGUAACGCGUAGGUAACCUGCCUGGUAGCGGGGGAUAACUAUUGGAAACGAUAGCUAAUACCGCAUAACAGUAGAUGUUGCAUGAUAUCUACUUAAAAGGUGCAAUUGCACCACUACCAGAUGGACCUGCGUUGUAUUAGCUAGUUGGUGAGGUAACGGCUCACCAAGGCGACGAUACAUAGCCGACCUGAGAGGGUGAUCCGCCACAACGGGACUGAGACCCGGCCCAGACUCCUACGGGAGGCAGCAGUAGGGAAUCUUCGGCAAUGGACGGAAGUCUGAACGGGCAAAGCCGCGGGAGGGAAGAAGGGUUUCGGAUCGUAAAGCUCCGUUGUAAGAGAAGAAAGAGUGUGAGAGUGGAAAGUUCACACUGUGACGGUACCUAACCAGAAAGGGACGGCUAACUACGUG
Molecule: ribosomal RNA, 497 nt
Filed under: uncultured bacterium
Lineage: Bacteria
Description: partial 16S ribosomal RNA
Rfam family: Bacterial small subunit ribosomal RNA
Source: RNAcentral